Molecule: non-coding RNA, 11173 nt
Organism: Monodelphis domestica (gray short-tailed opossum)
Lineage: Eukaryota; Metazoa; Chordata; Mammalia; Didelphimorphia; Didelphidae
Source: RefSeq, a predicted model, not a curated record
CACGCGGGCGCCCAAAAACCUCCAGCAGUCAACUUUCCAAGGAAAGGUUGAGAGAGGCUGGAGAGAGCAGAAGAUGGGCCGAGGGGUUCGGGGGAUCUUCAAAUUCCAUGAAGGUCUGCCUAGCGAUGUGUUGUUCUCCAGUGAUCCACAGCAGCAGAGCUUCCUGGAAUAGAGCCGGUCCAGCCUGCCCAUGGCACCUCUCAUUUGGAGCUUUGUGUUCAGUUCUGCCUGCAGCGCUCACUUUUAAAAAGGGCACAAUAGGGCCAGCUAGGAGGCUCAGUGGACUAAAGGCAGGCCUACAGACAAGAAGUGCUGGGUUCAAAUGUGGCCUCAGACCCUUCCUAGCUGGGUGACCCUGGGCAAGUCACUCAACCCACACCUCAUACCCCCACCCCAUCCCCACCCAUGGCUCACCCCUUAUGGCUCUUCUGCCUUGGAACCAAUAUGCAGUAUUGAUUCUAAGAUGGAAGGUAACGGUUCUUUGUUUUGUUUUUUGUUUUUUUAAUGCAUGAAGGAGGGAGCAGCUGGAUUGAGAGCCAGGUCCAGAGAUGGGAGGUCCUGGGUUCAAAUCUGGCCUCAGACACUUCCCAGCUGUGAGACCCUGAGCAAGUCACUUAACCCCCAUUGCCUAGCCCUUACCACUCUUCUGCCUUGGAACCAAUACAAAGUAUUGAUUCCAAGAUGGAAGGUGAGGGUUUAAAAAAUGUGUAUGAAGGAGUAGGGCUUGAUCUGAGCCUUAAAAAAUGGCCCAGAGUAGAUACAUGCAGAGAGACUGUCUUGUGUAUCUAAUAUGACACCAAGUGUGUGGCACCUCUUCAUAAAUAUUUGUGGAUGGAUUAAAAAUACUUUAGGUUAAGGCAAUACUAGACCUCAUUAUCCAUUCAUUCCUUUGUUCAAUAAAUGAAGACACGUUCUUGAAACAACUUGUGACAUUCUAAGAACUUAGAAAUACGGUCUUCAAUGACGGUGGCUCGGACAGUAUACUUUGUGGAUAUCAACUUUUCAAGAUGAGGGAACGUGUGAGAGACGCACACAAAGAAUGUGCACACAAGGACUCGGAAGGAGGCUGUAGUGCCUGUAGGAUCAGGGCAUCUUUCACUGAAAGUGAGCUUUGAAAAUGAGGUUAUUGAACCCCAAUUGAGAAUGACAAAAUUUUCUUCACUAAUUGCUUUGUUUUCAUAGCAAGGUCCUAACAAAGGAAAAACAGAAUCCAGCAUCUGUCUGUCAUUUGCAGCACCAGGUUAGCCUCCCCAGCAGGUGAGGCGUUGCAGGAGAUGCUGCCUGCCCAGGGAGAGGAGCCGGUGGAACUCCUCUGGAAGAGACAGAUUUGUGUUUGGGGCUCCCAUUUAAAAGAUUCCAACAUCCCAGGCAGGACCAGAGACAAGGUCUAUGUUGUAGCCAGCAAGGACCCAGCCUGGCGGCAGUAAGAAUUCUUGGCUUCCUGGAUCUGUUCCCGCGCCUCUCUGUCAGGUUCUUCUUGCUUCCCGGGCCCUCGACUUCGUUGGCUCCGGCCCUGCUUUACCAUCUUUCUUCCCCCUCCUUGUGUGCUCAGGCGUCUCAUAGCUUGUGCUCCAGGCUUUCCUUUUUUCCCCAGUCCUGCUCAUUCCUUCAGAACUAAACCAGAACUAUGGCCAAGUUUUGAGUCUUGUCAUUCAGAGUCCCCGAGGCCAUCAUUUCAGCGAGCUUCUGGGUUCCACCCAACAGUGACGUUCUGCAAUGAAGUACAAUUUAAAUCCUUUGCUUAUUUUUCUCCACUUUGUACCAGCGGCAGUUAACUGAGUCGAUCUCAAUUCCUUGUUUCAUGCAUUUAGGGAAGCUCAGUGGAAGCAAUUGGUGAUUCCUGUACAUCUGAUGAACAGAGAAAGCCCGGGAUUGAGAUUGAGCAGAGGUGAGACUUGUUAGAGGGAAGGAGAAUCUGGUUUACUGACAAGUUGGUGAUUCAGUUAAUAAAUAUUUGCCAUCUUUAUGACUGUUAUUAAGAUUAGAGGGUAUGUUAGAUGGUCGACCCUUUUUUUACUUUAGAUUCCUUAGAAUGAGGCUUUAUUUUAGGACAGAGAGAACACAGUAAAGGGUUGCUACUUGCCUUAGAUUAGGCCUGAUUCCCAUUUUGUUAAAUAGAUUUGCUAUGUUGACAAGCUCAGAGAGAGCAGGACAGUGUGAAGAGGAAGAGGAUUGUUUCUGUGGGCAAGGAAGCUCAAGGAAAGAUUUUUGGAACCAGUGAUCCAGAAUAGAGAGGGCAGAGCCAAGACGUCAGAGUAGAAGUAGGGAAAGUUCACAGUACUCAAAACCAAUGUCAAAAUAAUGUUUCAGGGGCAGCUGGGUGACUCAAUGGAUUGAGAGUCAGGCCCAGAGAUGGGAGGUCCUGGGUUCAAAUGUGAAUUCAGAUACUUCCUAGCUGUGUGACCCUGGGCAAGUCACUUAACCUUCAUUGUCUAGUCCUUAACCCUCUUCUUCCUUGGAACCAAUUCAUAGUAUUGAUUCUAAGUCAGAAGGUGAGGGUUAAAAAAUAAAAUAAAAUAAAAUAAUGCUUCAAAAGGAAUGCUGGAGUGACAGAAUAGCAAGGAAACAGAGAAGCAAUUUUCCUACAGAAAACAACUUGCAAGAUAGGCAGAGAGGGUAUGCUUCACAGGACUGAGAGGAGAGAACAAGAUCCCACCACAGAGUACUGGCACAGCCCAACAGCAGCCCCCCACCCCCACCCCGCUGUAAAAGUUAAAUUAAAUCUCAAUAAUAAUAUUAUAUUUUAAGAGAUCUAUUAAUGAUCAUUAGAAAUCAAGGAAUAAAGAAGAUACAAAAUAAAGACCACAUGCCCAUGGCUGGUUAGCCAUUUUUUAGUCAACCCCACUCACCACCAUCAAUGCUGAUUCUACAUCAGAGAGAGGGAACCUCCAAAGCCCACGCUCUUUAUCCUCUGACUACAGCAAGUACAUAAUGACAGGAAGUCAGUGGGGUCUUGGGACAUGUAGUUCUUUUUUUAGGGUAACAGAUUUUUAAUCAUACACCACAUCUACAGUUCCAGGUUCUGAACCUGGACCAAAACCCACAUCAAGAUCCUGAGGUCCUGCCUCCCAGCAUAGGCAGCUCACAGUGCUCUGAGCUCUGCAAGCCAGCAACAGUUCCAGAAGGUGAUUGAAUAAGCAGAGGGGGGUGGCUUGCAGAACUUCCAGCCCACAAGUCAUCUUACCACCUUGGAAGAACUGAAACUUGCAGAAACCCAGAAAAUACAGCUAAGGAUAGCAGCAAAGAAAUAACUGAAGUUUAAGAAAGUGUCCUCUCUACCCUGAGAACAGAGCCCACCUUUAAAAUGAAAGUUAAAGUCAAGAAAAAAGCUGGGGAAAUGAGCAAACAUCAAAAAGGGGGGGGGAUAUCUAGCCAUAGAAAAAUUUUAUGGAGAAAAAGAUGAAUAAGACAUUGACUCAGAAAGGGACAAUGAAAACAAAGCAGCUACAUGUGAAGUUUCAAAUAAAAAUAUGAAUUGGUAUCAGGCUCUAAAAAAUCUCAAAAAGGAUCUCAAAGAUCAAUUAAGAAAGGGAGAGGAUAAAAGGGGAAGAGAAAGAAAAUCAAUGGAAGAAGAAAAUAAUAGCUUAAAAAGCAGAACUAACCAAAUGGAAAAAAGAGGUUCAAAAGUUCAUGGAAGAAAAUUAUUUCUUAAAAAUUGGAAUCGGGGAACUAGAAGUUAAUGACUAUGAGACAUCAAGAAAUAAUAAAAUAAAAUCAAAAGAAUAAAAAAACAAAAACAUGAAAUAUUGGAAAAAUCAACCAAUUUGGAAAGUAGUUCUAGGAGAGAGAAUUUAAGAAUUAUUGUGCUACCUGAAAGUGACGAGCACACACACACAAAAAGCCUAGACAUCACAUUACAAGAAAUUAUCAAAGAAAAUUGCCCUGAUAUUUUUGAACAAGAGAGAAAAACAGAAAUUGAAAGAAAUUACAGAUCACCUCCAGAAAGAAAUCCCCAAAUGACAACUCCCAGGAAUAUUAUAGCUAAAUUCAAGAGCCCCCCAAACCGAGGAGAAAAUACUGCAAACAGUCAUAAAAAUAAUUCAAAAACUGUGGAGCUAUAGUCAUUAGAAUUAGAAGCCUCCCUCUACAUUAAAGGACCAGAGGGCAAAAGAACUAGGUUUAUGACCCAGAAUCACCUACUUACCAAAUUAAGUAUAUUCUUUCAGGAGGAAAAAUGAUCAUUUAAUAAAAUAGAUUUCCAUGCAUUCCUGAUGUAAAGAACAGAUGUAAACAGCAAAUUUGAUGUCCAAAAACUAGACUCAAGGGAAUCACAAAAAGGUAAAUAAGAAAAAGAAAAUGUAAGGAAUUCAACAAGGUUAAGCUGUUUCUAUUUCUGCAUGAAAAGAUGGUAUUUGUAAUUCUUAAAAUUUUUAUCAGUAUUACAGCAGUUUGAAGGAAUAUACAUACACAGAGGAUAUGGGAGUAAGCUGAUAGAAUAUGAUAGGCAAAAAAAAAAGGAGUGAAAAAAGAAUGCACAGAGAGAAAAGGAAAGGAAGAGGUAGAAUGGGUUAAAUUAUCUCACCUAAAAGAGGCAAAAAAAACUAUUACAGUGGAGGGGAGAAUGAGGGUGGUGAUGGGCAUUGCUUAAACCUUACUCUCAUUGAAAUUGACUCAGAGAGGAAAUAACAGCCAUACUCAUUCAUAUAUAUUACCCUAUGGAGAACUAGGAGGGGAACAUGAUAAGAGAGGAUAAUAGAAAGGAGGGGGAAGUAUAGGGUGGUAAUAAAAGCAAAACACCUGUGAGGAGGAACAGAGUAAAAGGAGAAAGAGCAGGAUCAAAAGGGGAAAAUAAGAUGAAGGGGAAUACACAGUUAUUAAUCAUAACUGAGUGUGAAUGGAAUGAACUCACCCAUAAAAUGGAAUCAGAUAGCAGAGUGGAUUAAAAACCAGAACCAUACUAUGUGUUGUUUACAAGAAACACAUGUGAGGCAGGGAGACACACACAGAAUAAAGGUAAGGGGCUAGAGCAAAAUUCAUUUUGCAUCAGUUGAAGUAAAAAAAAAAAGAGUAGCAAUCAUGAUCCCAGACAAAGCUAAAGCAAAAAAGCAAAGAUUUAAUUAAAAGAGAUAAGGAAAUUAUAUCUUGCUAACAGGUACCAUAGACAAUUAAAUAAUUUCAAUACUCAACAUAUAUACACUGAAUGUUAAUUUCCAUUAAAUGAGAUUCAGAAGGAAAUAUAGUAAAACUAUACUAGUGAGGGACCUCCACUUCCCCCUUUCAGAUUGAGAUUAAAUCUAGAAAAAUAAAUAAGAACUGAAGGAAGUAAAUGAAAUGUUAGAAAAAUUAGAUCUAAUAGAUCUCUUGAGAAAACAAUGGGGAUAGAAAGGAAUUUUUUUUUUCAACAGAACAUGGCAUGUACACAAAAGCUGACCAUGUAUUAGGGUAUAAAACUUCACAACCAAAUGCAGAAAAACAAAAAUAAUAAAUGCAUCCUUUUUCAAAUCAUAAUGCAAUUAACCAUUAUGAUCAAUAAGAGUCCAUGGAAAGAUAAAAAAUUAAUUGGAAUCAAAAUAAUUUAAUUAUAAAAAGGGAGGGGUCAAAAAUAAACUAUAUAGAAACAAUUUCAUUAAGGAGAACAAUGAGGAUGCAACAUAUCAAAAUUUAUGGGAUGCAGUACUUACAAGAAAGUUUAUAUCUCUAAAUGCUUACAUCAAGCAGACCAAUGAAUUUGCAACUAAAAAAACUAGAAAAAGAACAAAUUUUAAAUCCCCAAUUAAAGACUAAACUGCAAAUCCUAAAAAUCAAAGGAGAAAUUAAUAAAAUUGAAAGAGAAUUAUUGAACUAAUAAAUAAGAAUAGGAAUCCACUGGGGGGGGGGAAUAAAACAAAGUAUCGGUUAAUUUGAUUUUAAAGAAUGGAAGAAGGAAGAGAUGAUCCUUAAUUUGAAUAUUGAAGGAAGAGAACAAUUCGGACAGAUGGUGAAGAAAGUUCAUUCUGGACAUGGGGAUGGUAUGAGCAUAAGUAGUAAGAUAGAAGAGAACAAUAUAAGAAUAAAGGAUGAUAAGUAGUUCCAUUUAGAAGAUAAUCUAUGAGAAAGGGAAUAGUGCAAGGUAGGGUUAGAAAAGUAGAUCAUAGAAGGCCUUAAAUACCAGAACUGGAAGUUUAUGCUUUAUUUGAUAAGUAACAGGAAGCUACUAAAGUUGUUGGGGGGGGGGGAUGGGAUUUGAUCUGCAGAGUCAUCAGAGAAGUGGUAAAUGAAUUAUUAAGGGGAUAAGCUAAAAGAAGGUCAACAAGUUAUUAAGGCUAUUAAAAAUAGUCUAGGAUAGAAAAGGAGACCUGUCUUGGGGUGGUCACUGUGGAAAUGCAAAGGGAGGGAAAAGAUGUGAGAAAUGUGUUAGAGAUGAAGGGUUUGGCUGUGGAUUGAAUGAGGAAAUAAAGGGCAGAGCUUUCAAGUUCAGUUUACUAGGAGAAAGAUGGUGCCAUGAAUAGAAAUAGAAAAGCUGGGAGAAACGAAAGGGGACAAUUGAGAACAUAAUGAGACUGGACAUCCAUGAAAUUGGAUGUUCUAGAUGGAAAUAGGGACUUUCUAAAGAGAAGUUGAGUUUGAAAAUAGAGAUUGGAGAAUUAUCAGCAUAGUGGUAAUGAAUAAAGCCAAAAAGAGUGCAUUGGAUUACCAAAGCAGUGCAGAGAAGAGAACCCACAGCAGAACUUUUCAGGUUAUACAUAUUUAAAGGGAAUGGAAGAAGAGUGACCUAGUAAAGGAGGAGCAGAAAAGUCGGAAGAGAAUCAUGAGAGAGCUGUGGCAUGUAAAGCAACAGAAAAGUGAUAUCAAGAAGGAGACUAUUGUAAAUGGAGAUAGAUACUACAGCAAGGUCAAGGAGAAUAAGAAAAAAAGGCUAUUGGAUUUAGUCAUGGAAAGAAAUUUGUAAUUAGACAAUACCCCCUUCAUCCCUAUUUCAUCAUUUCUCUUGAUGUUUUAGAUAACUUAGUUUUUCAAAUGAAUUUUGUUAUUCUCUCAAGUUCUGUAUAAAGUAUUCUUUCGGUAAUUUCAUUGGCAUAGCAUUAAAAAUAUAAAUUCAUUUUGGCAGUACUGUGAUUUUUGUUGGCAUAGCCUAGUCUAGGCAUAUUCAAUAUUCUUUCAGCUUUUUAAAUGUCUUGACUUCUUUAAGGAGUAGUUUGUAAUCAAAUCUAUAUGUCUUUUUGUGUGCUUUGGGAGGUCAGUCCCCAGAUAUGUAAUGAAUUUUGUAAUUAUUUAGAAGAAAUUCCCUUUCUAUUAUUGCUUCUUGGGUUUUGUUAUAUUAAAAUGCUGCUGAUUUUGGAAGCUUUAUUUUGUAGCCUGUAACUUUGCUGAAGUUAUUGUCUGAAUUAGUAGCUUUGCUAGUUCCAAGGUGGAGGAGUGGUAAGGACUAGGGGGUUAGGUGACUUGCCCAGGGUCACACAGGUAGAAAGUUUGUGAGGCCAGAUUUGAGCCCAAAAUCUUCCAUCUCUAGACCUAGCUGUCAAUCCACUGAGUCAUCCAGCUGUCCCCCGAUAUGUUCUGAUUAUUCUCUUUAUUUCUUCUGAUUCUGCUAUGAUUUCACCAUGCUUUUUUGCUAUUUGAUAUGAUUUUCUGCUAUCUUUUUAGUCAGAUUAGCAAAGAGUUUAUUGAUUUUAUUAGUCAUUUCAAAGUACCAGCUUUUAAUUUUAUUUAUUAUUUCUAUGGUUUAAUUUAUUUUUCCUCUAAUUUUUAAUAUUAAAUUAUAUAAAUAAAUCUAUAAAUGGCUUAUAUUUAUAUAAUAAAUAUGUGCUUAUGACAUGUUAUAUAAAUGUUAUAUAUUAUGUAAUGAUGAUAUUACAUAAUAACUAAUUAAUAUUUAAUAUCUUCUUUUGUGCUUAUCUUUGUGCUAAUCUUUCAGUGCCUUUUUGGGAAAGGGCCAUUACCAGUCUAGAGAAAAGCGGUGGAUAUUUUCUCUCCCUCUAUACCCCCUCAUAAACAAUGUUGUUAAAAAAUAAUAAAGUUUAGUGGACAGAAUACUGGCCUUGGUCACGCAGGAUGCCUAAAUCAGCAAGGUUUUUUAGAAAGUCAGGGGUCCUGGAUUCAAUAUGACUCUCCUACUUACCUGCGUGAUUUGGAGUCAUUUUCUAAGAUGGACCUAAAUUUCUACCUUUAGGCCCAGUGUCUAAGCUUUGGCAUCACUAGAUUCCUUUAGUGAAUGGAAGGGAACAGUUGGUGGCAUCACCGGGUAAAUUCGCAGAAUGGAGACGUUUGGCCAAGCCAGUCACCUCCUGCAUUCCAGCAGGCUCUUGUGGCCAGAUCUGACCUGGAGCCACUGGUUUGUGGAGAAGAGGCUGCUCAGAAUUCCAAGCAACAGAAUUUCCUCCUAAGCUGAGGUCUCUGUAUCAAAUGAGAUGGGUUUGGGGGUUUAAAGUCACUUUUCCCCUUCUUUGAAGAAGCCUCUGGGCCAGACAAUAAAAACCAACCUCCCGCCCGGCUCUACGGUUUAGUUCUGGGUGUUGGCUCGUGUUUUGGAAGCUGGUGGCUAAAUAUUUUACAAAAACUCCCCUCGGAGCGUCUUUGCUGGAAGCAGCAGGAGAAAACGGGAGGCCCGGCGAGGGAUCUCUCCCGGGCACUGACGUGUAAACCACGGAAAAACACCAAGCGCAGGAAGCCGCCACGCUGACAGGAGCCCAGGCCCCUCGGUCCCCGGACUCUCAGUCCCCGGGUCCCCGGGUCCCCCGGCCCCCUGGACCACUGGUUCCCCGGCCCCCCCGACCCCCCGAUUCCCCGGCCCCCCGGACCACUGGUCCCCCGGCCCCCGGUCCCCCAGCCCCUCUGCCCCCAGGACCCUGGUCCCUCAGCCCUCAGGCCCUCAUCCCCCUGGCCUCCCGGCUUUCAGCCCCCGGGCCCAGCUGCAACGGUGAUGCUGAGCUCGAGCCCCAGAGCAGCCAGAAAAUCGUUUGUUUGUUUUUUUCCUGUUGGGGAGGGCCGUGAGUCAAGGUGGUCCCGGCCAGAAGGCAGGAGGGCCGGGCAGCGGGCCUCGCCGAGCUCCGAUAUUUCUAUGGCAAACUGCAAGGACAAAUGGUGAUGGGCCCCGCCCUCUGGGAGUGGCUUAUGUUGUAACGGAAAGGAUGCGGGAUUUGGGGUUCAAAUCCCAGCACUGUCCUACUGCUUGUGUGACUUUGGAUAAAAGAAUUUGAAGACCAAGAGGUUGUGGAAGGGCAACAGAGCUGGUCAGCGAGUCUGAGGCACUCCCCUUCCAGAGGCACAAGGUGCCACCUCAGCAAUAGCUUUGCUCCAGCUUCUCUCUGAUCCAGGGUCAUGGGCGGAUCUACUCUUGGCCCCAGCCACAGGAGCAUCUCCCUGGCCCCUUAUUCCACGUGGUACAUUGAGAAUGUCACGCCGCUGUUCUGGCAGAGACUUGCAAAGACCAGGAGAAAUUGUUUCUGGCUUCAAAACUGGCAGGGGAGAAAAGCUGGUGCCCCUGAAGGUGACUCUGUCUAGCGUUGGAAGAGUUUUCUUGCCGCUCGCUCUUGGGUUAGCUUUUCUUCAGGGAGCAUGUCUGGGAUCAUGUCUGCACUCCUCUCUGCUUUCAGAACUAGCCAAGGGCACAGGUCUCGGACCUGCCGCAGACCCGCUUGGCUCACAUUGCGACAGAAGUCCACAUGGAGGGUCCUCAGUGAGCGCCCGUGAAUGGUUACCGCAGCCAGCAUUCGGUUGGUGAUGCGAACACAAUUUUCCAGUUUGAGGGUCUGCAGGUUGGGGCAACUCUGGAGCAAUAAUGCAAUGCAUUCAUCAGUGACGUGGCCACAGCCGGAGAGCGUCAAGGACAAGAGGUUUGGGCACCUGAAAGAGAGAGUGUCAACAUAGGAAGGGAAGAGGACAAAGGAGCCAAAUUAGGCACCCCCCACCCCUUCUGCUCAUGAAUUGAUUAGGAAGUGCACUGGAAAGAUCAUUGCAUUUGGAGUCAGCCACUGAGACACCUGGCAUGUGGCCUCCCCUUUCUGGGCUUCAGUUGUAAAACUAAGACACCUUCCACCUUUAAAUUCAAGAUUCUAUUGUCUGUCAGGGCUUCGACACCAUGCAAGUUGUUAAAACUAGAAACCCUUCCAGAGACCUCCAAAAUUCAGCCAAAGGGGUACCCUUCCUUGAUGUGGCAGGAAAGAGAGAUCUGGGCAUCUCUCAGACCUAGGAAAGGUGGACCAAUCAGAAGAGACCAUCACUUGGAGAUGAAAAGGCUAAAUCUGAUCACAAGAUUGUCUCUUCCUUUGAUGGAAGGAGCCUUAAGGGGAAAAGGGUCUUCUCUCCUCUAGGGCCAUUCUCCCCUGCCCGCCAGUGCAUCCCUCUCUCCUGCUCUGCCCCAUCCAUCUCUGAGCACACACUCCAUUUGCCCCAAAGUAAGCAGGGAAUGAUUAAUCAUGACCAGAUGGUUUUCCAAACUAGAACUACUUGUCUUUGCUUUCAAUCUGGGAAAAAGUCACCGAAGCAGUUGGCAGGAGCCAAACCCUCCUCCACUAAGAUUUUCUUGCAUUUGUUGGGUGGGCCAGGGAAAAACAAGGAAAAAUGAUUGAUGUUGAAUCAAAACUGUUCCUUCCAAACAGUGGGAAGUAAUUUCUCCUUUAGUAAAAAGAGGUUUAUAGAUGAAAUCAAGUCAAAUUUAUCAAUCAUGGCAAUAACCAGAAAGUUAUUCAUCCUCACCUAGAAGGAGUCCUUCUCUGUCCCCUCCGCUCUAAGAAAUCAAAGUGUUUAAGGGGGAGAAUACUAUCUCCCCCCCCUCCCCCAGCUUGGCUAAUCGGGUAUAUUAGGUUGAAGAAUAAGCUGUUGCACUGGAAGGCACUUACGACCUUGCUUGUGGGGAGCUCUCCUGGGGUGAAAAACCCAAAGGCUGCAGGGAGCCUGGUCAACCCACCAUUUGUAGAGAAAAUGGGUUACACUUUGUUCUCUCUUGCCGAGAAGGCAGCAGCAAAUUGCAAACAUACUCCCUGGCUCCUAUCCUAAAUGUUUUCUUUCUUAAAAUAUGUAAACUUUGGAUGUAGACUCUAAAUGAUCAUCCCCGUGCAAACAUCAACAUGGAAAUAGGUUCUGAUCAAGGACACAUGUAAUACCCAGCGGAACUUCGUGUUGGUUGGGGGGGGGGUAGAGGGGAGGGAGGGAAAUAAUGUGAUUCUUGUAACCAAGGAAUAAUGUUCUAAACUGACUAAAUAAACUAAUUCAAAUGAAAAAAAAAAAUAAAAGGAACGUUGAAGUUUUAAAAAAA